Molecule: ribosomal RNA, 231 nt
Filed under: uncultured bacterium
Lineage: Bacteria
Description: partial 16S ribosomal RNA
Rfam family: Bacterial small subunit ribosomal RNA
Source: RNAcentral
UCCACGCCCUAAACGAUGUACACUAGUUGUUGGGAUGCAAGUCAUCCCAGUGAUGCAGUUAACACAUUAAGUGUACCGCCUGGGGAGUACGGUCGCAAGAUUAAAACUCAAAGGAAUAGACGGGGACCCGCACAAGUGGUGGAGCAUGUGGUUUAAUUCGAAGAUACGCGAAGAACCUUACCUGGGCUUGACAUCCCGAGAAUCACCCCAGAGAUGGGUGAGUCCAGUUAC